UAAUAAGGCAAGUACCAAAAAAAAAAGAGUGUAUGAAGCCUGUAGGGCAUGAAUGAAUGAUAGACUUGGUUUUAUGACUUCCUUCAAUAGGGAAAGAGAAACGACUUGACUUUUCUGAGAGCAGGAAUUUACAGAGAAGUUUGGUCAAACAUGUAUUGUGAAAUUUGCUUGCAACAAGCUGAGAAGAAUUUUCAGCAAGUGUGGAGGCCUGGCUGGAUGAAAGGAAUUGGGAGCCAAAGUGUCUUUAUAAAUCAGCUACUCAUUUGGACACCCAUGCUCUGGAUCAUGCGGAAGAGUCACAAGGUGUCCUUUGGGUCCCAUUUCUAUCCCCCACUGUCCCCUAGCCUCCAUCAGUGAUGUCCUGGGGCCAGUACUUCUCACUCCAGCACAAGUAAGUGAAUUGUUUUUCUCUGUUUUUUAGGGCCAAUUGGCAGAGGAGAACAGUGUCAUCUAGCAGAAGUCUUUCUGUGCCCCUCUGGAACUGCAGUUAUGCUCCCAAGAAGUGCCAGUAGGCCUCGCCGGUCAAAACAUGAUGGAUUUGGAAAAGUCUGCCAACGUCACCUUUGAACCAAAAGUGUUUGAAGUGCCUCCGGAGCCAAGCCUAAGAUAUUCUGAAUAUAGAGUAUUCUACGAUGCGUACAGCAUUUGCUUGAGGAUUAUCUGCUAAAGAACCAAGCACAGAACAGCAUGAACCACAGGGGAUUGUUGCCAUCAGGCCAGCUGUGAGGGUUCAAGAAAUUACCCUCCACCUCAUUUAAGGUCAGGGCCAACCUGCUGCCCUCAGGACGUACAUAUCUUGUGGAG
Gallus gallus (chicken) is the source of this 804-nucleotide long non-coding RNA. RefSeq lists it as uncharacterized. The record is from RefSeq and is a predicted model, not a curated record. The transcript has 3 exons. NCBI's taxonomy places the organism in Eukaryota, Metazoa, Chordata, Aves, Galliformes, Phasianidae.